GAUGAACGCUGGCGGCGUGCCUAAUACAUGCCAGUCGAGCGAACAGACGAGGAGCUUGCUCCUUUGAUGUUAGCGGCGGACGGGUGAGUAACACGUAGGUAACCUACCUAUAAGACUGGGAUAACUUCGGGAAACCGGAGCUAAUACCGGAUAAUAUUUCGAACCGCAUGGUUCGAUAGUGAAAGAUGGCUUUGCUAUCACUUAUAGAUGGACCUGCGCCGUAUUAGCUAGUUGGUAAGGUAACGGCUUACCAAGGCAACGAUACGUAGCCGACCUGAGAGGGUGAUCGGCCACACUGGAACUGAGACACGGUCCAGACUCCUACGGGAGGCAGCAGUAGGGAAUCUGCCGCAAUGGGCGAAAGCCUGACGGAGCAACGCCGCGUGAGUGAUGAAGGUCUUCGGAUCGUAAAACUCUGUUAUUAGGGAAGAACAAACGUGUAAGUAACUGUGCACGUCUUGACGGUACCUAAUCAGAAAGCCACGGCUAACUACGU
RNAcentral lists this ribosomal RNA (496 nucleotides) under uncultured bacterium. RNAcentral's name for it is "partial 16S ribosomal RNA". It matches the Rfam family "Bacterial small subunit ribosomal RNA", at positions 28 to 506 of the family's 1533-position model. The record is from RNAcentral.